GGAGUUAGCCGGUGCUUCUUCUGUGAGUGAUGUCCUUCCUGCCGGCUAUUAACCCGCAGGCCUUCUUCCUCACUGAAAGUGCUUUACAACCCGAAGGCCUUCUUCACACACGCGGCAUGGCUGGAUCAGGGUUGCCCCCAUUGUCCAAUAUUCCCCACUGCUGCCUCCCGUAGGAGUCUGGGCCGUGUCUCAGUCCCAGUGUGGCUGAUCAUCCUCUCAGACCAGCUACGGAUCGUCGCCUUGGUGAGCCGUUACCUCACCAACCAGCUAAUCCGACAUAGGCUCAUCCGAUAGCGCGAGGCCCGAAGGUCCCCCGCUUUCCCCCGUAGGGCGUAUGCGGUAUUAGCCUGGGUUUCCCCAGGGUUAUCCCCCACUACCGGGGCAGAUUCCUAUGCAUUACUCACCCGUCCGCCGCUCGCCACCAGGGAGCAAGCUCCCCGUGCUGCCGCUCGACUUGCAUGUGUUAGGCCUGCCGCCAGCGUUCAAUCUGAGCCAUGAUCAAACUCUGA
Molecule: ribosomal RNA, 509 nt
Filed under: uncultured bacterium
Lineage: Bacteria
Description: partial 16S ribosomal RNA
Source: RNAcentral